Molecule: ribosomal RNA, 453 nt
Filed under: Streptococcus cristatus
Lineage: Bacteria; Bacillati; Bacillota; Bacilli; Lactobacillales; Streptococcaceae
Description: bacterial SSU rRNA
Rfam family: Bacterial small subunit ribosomal RNA
Source: RNAcentral
GACGAACGCUGGCGGCGUGCCUAAUACAUGCAAGUAGAACGCUGAAGGGAGAGCUUGCUCUUCUGGAUGAGUUGCGAACGGGUGAGUAACGCGUAGGUAACCUGCCUGGUAGCGGGGGAUAACUAUUGGAAACGAUAGCUAAUACCGCAUAACAUUGACUAUUGCAUGAUAGUCAAUUAAAAGGUGCAAAUGCACCACUACCAGAUGGACCUGCGUUGUAUUAGCUAGUUGGUGGGGUAACGGCUCACCAAGGCGACGAUACAUAGCCGACCUGAGAGGGUGAUCGGCCACACUGGGACUGAGACACGGCCCAGACUCCUACGGGAGGCAGCAGUAGGGAAUCUUCGGCAAUGGACGGAAGUCUGACCGAGCAACGCCGCGUGAGUGAAGAAGGUUUUCGGAUCGUAAAGCUCUGUUGUAAGAGAAGAACGAGUGGAGAGGGAAAGUUCACAC